This 1080-nucleotide ribosomal RNA is filed under the name Candidatus Phytoplasma trifolii. Its description in RNAcentral is "bacterial SSU rRNA". It matches the Rfam family "Bacterial small subunit ribosomal RNA", at positions 265 to 1348 of the family's 1533-position model. Lineage: Bacteria; Bacillati; Mycoplasmatota; Mollicutes; Acholeplasmatales; Acholeplasmataceae. The record is from RNAcentral.
CUUACAAGAGGGUGAUGUUAGCUGAAUGAGAGGUUGAACAGCCACUUGGGAAUGAGACACGGCCCAAAUUCUUACGGGAGGCAGCAGUAGGGAAUUUUCGGCAAUGGAGGAAACUCUGACCGAGCAACGCCGCGUGAACGAUGAAGUAUUUCGGUAUGUAAAGUUUUUUUAUUGAAGAAGAAAAAGUAGUGGAAAAACUAUAUUGACGUUAUUCAAUGAAUAAGCCCCGGCUAACUAUGUGCCAGCAGCCGCGGUAAGACAUAGGGGGCGAGCGUUAUCCGGAAUUAUUGGGCGUAAAGGGUGCGUAGGCUGUUAGAUAAGUCUAUAAUUUAAUUUCAGUGCUUAACGCUGUCUUGUUAUAGAAACUGUCUUGACUAGAGUGAGAUAGAGGCAAGCGGAAUUCCAUGUGUAGCGGUAAAAUGUGUAAAUAUAUGGAGGAACACCAGAAGCGUAGGCGGCUUGCUGGGUCUUUACUGACGCUGAGGCACGAAAGCGUGGGUAGCAAACAGGAUUAGAUACCCUGGUAGUCCACGCCGUAAACGAUGAGUACUAAGUGUCGGGGUAAAACUCGGUACUGAAGUUAACACAUUAAGUACUCCGCCUGAGUAGUACGUACGCAAGUAUGAAACUUAAAGGAAUUGACGGGACUCCGCACAAGCGGUGGAUCAUGUUGUUUAAUUCGAAGAUACACGAAAAAUCUUACCAGGUCUUGACAUACUCUGCAAAGCUAUAGAAAUAUAGUGGAGGUUAUCAGGGAUACAGGUGGUGCAUGGUUGUCGUCAGUUCGUGUCGUGAGAUGUUAGGUUAAGUCCUAAAACGAGCGCAACCCUUGUCGUUAAUUGCCAGCACGUAAUGGUGGGGACUUUAGCGAGACUGCCAAUUAAACAUUGGAGGAAGGUGAGGAUUACGUCAAAUCAUCAUGCCCCUUAUGAUCUGGGCUACAAACGUGAUACAAUGGCUGUGACAAAGAGUAGCUGAAACGCGAGUUUUUAGCCAAUCUCAAAAAAGCAGUCUCAGUUCGGAUUGAAGUCUGUAAACUCGAACUUCAUGGAAAGUUGGAAAUCGCUAGUUAAUCGCGAA